Long non-coding RNA from Rhineura floridana, 1326 nucleotides. RefSeq lists it as uncharacterized. Lineage: Eukaryota; Metazoa; Chordata; Lepidosauria; Squamata; Rhineuridae. The transcript is spliced from 3 exons. The record is from RefSeq and is a predicted model, not a curated record.
UGCUGCCGAACCGCCCCCGCUCCGGCUGCUCCGGCUGCUCCGGCUCGAGCUGCGGCGGCGGCGGCGUCUUCCACUGCCUCUCGCUGGCCGGGAGGGGCGAGGCGGGGACUGCGCGCGGAGGUGGGACCGGCCCGGGAGGAGACGCUUAAAGAGGCCGCUCGGCUCCUUGUGGGAGAAGAAAAAGAAAGUUGCGUUUAGGGAACGAGUUUCAAGGAAUCCCGCGCGCGCUUCCGGGGAGGGGGGAGCCCCGCCGAGUUCAUCGGGGUUUGCUCCUCAAGAAGCCCGCCUAGGAAAGUAGACCGUGUUGCCCAGUGGUUAGAGAAAGGAAGAGAAUUGUGCCAGGCCCUCGAGAGAUAGAUAGAUAGAUAGAUAGAUAGAUAGAUAGAUAGAUAGAUAGAUAGAUAGAUAGAUAGAUUUGGUUGGCCUACAACUCCCAUCAUUCUUGGCCAUGGGCCAGGCUAGCUGGGGCUGACUGGAGUUGGAGACCAGCAAAAUAUGGAGGGUUUCUUCCUCCCCUCCAGGUUCCCCCACUGAGUAUCAGACUACCACUGGGGGACAACCAGGCUCAAUUCGCCUCACCCCCGUUCCCCUCAGCCACAAAACUAAGCCAGUCAGACCUAUAGUCGCGACCUAGCUACCUCAUCGGGGUAUCGUGAGGUUCCUGGUUCAAUCCACGGCGUCUCCAGGUAGCGCUGAGGGAAAGAUUCUUCUGAAAGAGAGAGUUGAUUUAGACAGGUGACGUGGUGCCCCGAAAUAACGCGGGAAUCCGACUCCCAUCAUCAUUGGUCAUGCUAUCUUGGAACAUGAAGCCUCAAGUCACAGCAAGAAUUUUCUCUGCAAAGUUACAACGCAGAUGUGAUACGUAAUCCUUCCAAGUGAACUUUGAGGGCAUAAUCAGGGUGAGACUGGAAAAAAAGUGACUGAAAGUUUGACACUUUCGGUGCAAAAAGGACUGGAUAGUGGAUGCAGCUGCAUGAGGCACGCGCAUGCAAGGCCCCAAUCCACGGGAGAAGGCCUUCCAUGAAAAGCUGUGAAAAGUUAACUGAACCGGAGUCUGCAAGCGCACCACCACUCUGAAGCAUUUUGUCACAGAUCCUCAGCUAUCUGAGACAAACCAAUAGGAAAAAUAAAAAUAUUCCUGUCCUGUCAGUCACUCAGUUCAGUUCACCGUUCGAUUCAUCUGCCUAAAACUAUGGACCAACGCAAAACUAAUGCAAAUAGACAACAUUUAUUUUAUUAAUUGAUUAGAUUUAUUAUUCGCGUGAUGCCCAGAGGUCCCCAAGCGACGUACACAAUGUUAAAACAAAAUGAAUAAAACACACUAUG